RNAcentral lists this transfer RNA (69 nucleotides) under Dysomma anguillare (shortbelly eel). RNAcentral describes it as "tRNA-His". It matches the Rfam family "tRNA". Rfam says of the family: Transfer RNA (tRNA) molecules are approximately 80 nucleotides in length. Their secondary structure includes four short double-helical elements and three loops (D, anti-codon, and T loops). The record is from RNAcentral. RNAcentral also lists the same sequence under 1 other name. Lineage: Eukaryota; Metazoa; Chordata; Actinopteri; Anguilliformes; Synaphobranchidae.
GUAGAUAUAGUUUAACAAAAACGUUAGAUUGUGAUUCUAAAAAUAGAAGAUAAAACCCUCUUAUUCACC